AUACGGGGGGUGCAAGCGUUAUUCGGAAUCAUUGGGCGUAAAGGGCACGCAGGCGGCCUGGUAAGUCAGAUGUUAAAGCCCGGGGCUUAACCCCGGAAGGGCAUUUGAAACUAUCAGGCUUGAGUAUGGGAGAGGGAAGUGGAAUUCCUGGUGUAGAGGUGAAAUUCGUAGAUAACAGGAGGAACACCGGUGGCGAAGGCGACUUCCUGGACCAAUACUGACGCUGAGGUGCGAAGGCGUGGGGAGCAAACAGGAUUAGAAACACCAGUAGUCC
This 274-nucleotide ribosomal RNA is filed under the name uncultured bacterium. RNAcentral's name for it is "partial 16S ribosomal RNA". It matches the Rfam family "Bacterial small subunit ribosomal RNA", at positions 523 to 796 of the family's 1533-position model. The record is from RNAcentral.